CCGCGUGUGUGAAGAAGGCCUUCGGGUUGUAAAGCACUUUCAGUUGUGAGGAAAAGUUAGUAGUUAAUACCUGCUAGCCGUGACGUUAACAACAGAAGAAGCACCGGCUAACUCCGUGCCAGCAGCCGCGGUAAUACGGAGGGUGCGAGCGUUAAUCGGAAUUACUGGGCGUAAAGCGCACGCAGGCGGUUUGUUAAGCUAGAUGUGAAAGCCCCGGGCUCAACCUGGGAUGGUCAUUUAGAACUGGCAGACUAGAGUCUUGGAGAGGGGAGUGGAAUUCCAGGUGUAGCGGUGAAAUGCGUAGAUAUCUGGAGGAACAUCAGUGGCGAAGGCGACUCCCUGGCCAAAGACUGACGCUCAUGUGCGAAAGUGUGGGUAGCGAACAGGAUUAGAUACCCUGGUAGUCCACACCGUAAACGCUGUCUACUAGCUGUGUGUGACUUUAAGUCGUGAGUAGCGAAGCUAACGCGCUAAGUAGACCGCCUG
Molecule: ribosomal RNA, 486 nt
Filed under: Alteromonas sp.
Lineage: Bacteria; Pseudomonadati; Pseudomonadota; Gammaproteobacteria; Alteromonadales; Alteromonadaceae
Description: bacterial SSU rRNA
Rfam family: Bacterial small subunit ribosomal RNA
Source: RNAcentral